UGGGGAAUUUUCCGCAAUGGGCGAAAGCCUGACGGAGCAAUGCCGCGUGGAGGUGGAAGGCCUACGGGUCGUCAACUUCUUUUCUCGGAGAAGAAAUAAUGACGGUAUCUGAGGAAUAAGCAUCGGCUAAUUCUGUACCAG
Molecule: ribosomal RNA, 141 nt
Filed under: uncultured bacterium
Lineage: Bacteria
Description: partial 16S rRNA
Rfam family: Bacterial small subunit ribosomal RNA
Source: RNAcentral